UUAUUGUUUGUUGUCUGAAUCUGUCCAUUUGUAUUCCUUUUGACAAUCAAAUUAAAUUGCAAUUCUAUCCUACGAAAAAUGAAUUAGUUUUAGUUUAAAAUUCUCAAGUAAAAUGUUCCCAAUUUCAAAAUUAACAUCCCACAUUUCCAUGUUCAGUAUAUCAAACAUAAUCAUCCGAAAUAAUACAAUACAAUAAAUGAACAUUGUUGAAAAAAGUAUACAUUUUUAGCAUCCAACAGAAACCAAGCUCGCCAUGUUUAAAAGUUAGUAUAAAUAUUUUUUCUUCUCUGUCAACGUACAUAUCUGUUUUUAUCUCAGCUUAAAUGUUUAAUAUGUUUCAUUAAAGCGGUUGCUUCUUUUGAGAGACUGACAUUCUUGGACAAGGACCCCAAUAUGAACUCAAAUUUUAAGUCUGUAUAGUAAAAUGGUUUAUCAGAGUAUAAAUGAUAUACUGAAACAGUUAAUUUUUCAGACAUUGCCAUAUAUAACAAGUACAAAUGAAUACAAAUAAUGUAUUUUUGUCAAAUAUAAAAAGCUAUGCAACAAGUGUAAAAUGAUAAUUUUGUGAGAGGAAAAAAUGAAUAGUGGCAUAGCAAACAUUAUAAAUAAACAAUUAUGGUCACUUCAAAUUAUUGUAGAUUACAUUUUAGUACUUUUCAAUCUUUCUGAUAUUCAGCCAUUUGUUUGACAAAUCAUUUUGCAUUAAAUAAAUUUUCCAUUGUAUUAACUUUUAUUCACCUAAUUUAACUGAUAUGUUUUACUCAAUUACACACCUCAAAUUCAAAUGUAUAUCAAGUUUUUUUCUGUUUUUCCCUGAACACGUAAAAAAGUCUCUCAUACUUAAUAAACCCCUGAAUGAAAAUCUACAUAUAACUUUAUGUGGCCAACAGUAAAUACCUAGCUAGCUGUAUAACAACAAUAUAUAUAACAGGUAUUGUUUUGAGGCAGAUAGUUCAAUUUAUCAAUUGUCAUCACACACAUCUGGAUUAGUACUGUCGACAAACACUAUAAUGUUGAAAAUUUACACAUUACACCAAUUUGUGUAUACAUUUUUCUGUUUUUCCUCUCCCUUUUGUACCAAUGUAUUUUAAGGGUAAUAUGGGAGAGAGCACACAAUACGGAGAUACAUGAAAUAGCUGUUUUUUUCUCAUACAGACUUAAUCCAUACCAAAAAACAUAAAUUGCAACCCAUAAGUAACCUUCAAACACAUUUUAAUCAUUAAACAGAGAGGAAAACUAGUACUUUGGGUUUGGACUACCAAAUUUUUUAGCUUUUGGGAACAUAAUUCCCAAAUGUAUCAAUCAUACUUAUUGCAUACUUUUAGUCGCUCUGGGAAUCAUAAAUGAUAAAACCACCAUAUAAGAUAUUGACAUCGGCAAA
Molecule: long non-coding RNA, 1381 nt
Filed under: Mytilus galloprovincialis (Mediterranean mussel)
Lineage: Eukaryota; Metazoa; Mollusca; Bivalvia; Mytilida; Mytilidae
Source: RNAcentral